Molecule: long non-coding RNA, 25124 nt
Filed under: Physcomitrium patens
Lineage: Eukaryota; Viridiplantae; Streptophyta; Bryopsida; Funariales; Funariaceae
Description: long non-coding RNA (PPAT_LNC010487)
Source: RNAcentral
ACAAGGAAACUAUAAUCUCCUCCUUCACCUUAUCGGUCUCUUCCUUACAGCAAUUCAGUCAUACCAAUAACUGCUAUUUCCACCAAUAUAUUCACCUUCAUAAUCUCCAACUGUAAUGCUGUGCCCUCACAGCUUUCAGCACACAAUUACCCUCAUUUCAGUCACUGGAAUUUUUUACACAGAACUGCCAUUCACAUUACGGUGUUUCAUACAAACACAGACUCAUUCUCUCUACUGAAGUGCAAUUAGAUUUCAGCAUUUAAUCUUUCUUCUUCUCAAAUAAUACCAAUCACAUUUCCAUUCCAUAAUUCACUUCACAAUAUUCAAAAAAUCUCAAUCUUCUUAUUCAAAGAAAAUAACAAACAAAAGAAAAGAGGUAGCACCAAGCUUACCCCGGCUCACACUAUCACAGCGAUGGCCCUCGGCUCAUGACUAUCACAGUCUUGCACCUUAAUUAACUUCUACAACUCCUAUAUACUUUCCCUUGAUUCUCCAAAUUCCAACUGUAAUUUUGUAAUUAACUACUUUUAAUAACUAAAUCACUCAUCUGUCCUUCUGAAUUUUCUAUUAUAUGGACUAUUAAUAUAUUUUACCAAUAACUUUCAAAAACAAAUUAAUAUCUAUUGUACAGUGUAUGUUGAUGCAUCCAAUGUUGUUAUUGGAUCUGUGUUAAGUUAGAAGGAUGAAAAAAAAAUAGAUCAUCUAAUAUAUUAUGCUAGUUGACAAUUGGUGGCUGCCAAACAAAAUUACACUACUAUUGAACGGAAAGCUUUGGGCAUGAUAUAUUCGGUUUAAAAAUUUCGACAUUAUUUGUUGAGCCAUCCAUUUGUAUUUUAUGAGGAUCAUGAUGCCCUAAAAUAUAUGAUUAAUAAGCCUUAGUUGAGUGGACAUAUUGCCAAAUGGAUAUUAUUACUACAAGAAUUUAAUUUUACUAUUAUCAUAAGAUCUAGGAAGAACCGUGCGAAUGUUGACCAUUCAUCCCAAUUGUUCAAUAUCCUGGGCAAUGAACCUAUUCUUGAUGUACUUCUUGAUGAUGAUUUAUUUGAUGUGGAUGUAAUUUCACUGGAAUAUAGUGAAAUAAUUUUAUUUUUGACAUUGCAAAUAUUUUCAUCUGUAUUUAUCGAGAAGCUUAAAAAAUGCUUAAUUUUGAAAAAUGUACCAUAUACAAUGAUUGAUAAUGCUUUGUAUAAGCAAAGAAAGGAUGGCAUUUUAUGACGAUGUAUCUUUCAAAGUGAAGUACAGUCAAUAUUAGAUGGUUGCCACUUGGAUAGUUGUAGUGGAUAUUUUGCUCAUGAUAGUAUUGCUCGAAAAGCUUUAAUGGUCAAAUAUUGGUCGCCAAUAAUAUUUUCAAAUGCACACCAAUAUGUUUACUGCUAUGAUCCAUGUCAAAGAAUUGAUCGACCAACUGGCACUUUUGCCAUGCCAUUAGUACCAAUUUUGGCCCAAGCAACGUUUGAAAAAUAAAAAAUUGAUUUUAUUGGACCAAUUAUAUUAACUUCGCGAUGUUGAGGUAGAAAGAGUUUGCCUCAAGAAAGCACUGGGCUUCUAACUGCCACUAAAUGCUCAAUGAAGUCUAAGAUAUAAAAGUACCAAGUUUAUAUAUAUAAUAUUUUUCCUUUUAGGAUAAUUACAUCAAAACAUAAGCUCAAGUACUAAGAAAACAUCCAAAUGUAUGAUAAAGUAUCUUAAAACCUUAUAUAUCCUUAUAAAAAAUAUUUUCUGAACUUCAACAGCUCAUAUCUCAUGAUUAAACUGUCCAAACAAUCUUAAAUUUUACAUGAAGCAUUGAUAAACUUUCAAAAACUACCACAAAAAAUUCAACCAUAAAUUUGUUACGGAUCUUGGAAUAUCACUAAAAUCCUAAUAAUAGCUACAAAUCCUAGCUUAUAUACAUCCACAUACUAAUUUCUUCAUAUCUCACAAAAUAAGUACUCAAAUACCAUGAAAAUUUGAUCUAUAGCUUCUUUACCUAUUAACUCAUACUUAUAGAAAUUUUAAGCCAAAAAUUCGUCUAAAAACUCAAGAUAUGGCUCCAACUAUUAUUAUCAGUAAAAUGACUUACAUAUUGUCUUUCAAUUAUAUGUGCUAUCUUCAAUGCCUUAUAACUCCUUCAUCCACAUUUAAAAUUUGCCAAACAAUAUAUGUAAAGUAUAGCCAAGAAACUCCAAUCGCUGAUCUUUCAUUGCUCUGUGUAUGCAUAUGUUAUGCUUCAAAGAGUGACAAUAGGUACAAAUUUGACACCUUAACUUUGAAUACAUAUAUCUCCUGUACAAAAACUCGAAAUCACACAAACUUUUUACCUAAGUUAUACCCAAAACUCUGAACUUGCUGACCCUAGCCUCCAAAGCUCGAAUGACUUCGAAAGAGAAAUCCUAAUCUCUAGUAAGGCCUCAGAUAGCCUCUUUGAAGCCCAUUGGAUAUGGCCUUUGAUCAAUAAGAAUGAAGAUCUACAUUCCUUGCCUUCAUCCAACCAUGCCUUCUUUUCAUCCCUCUUAAUAAGCCUCCUAAUAGUUUAAAAUUUCAUCUUUAGACUCCAACCUUUUUUUAAGUUUUAUACUAAAUAUCUAAAUCCUACAUAAUAUAAACGCUAUAAUCAAAAUAGAUAAAUUCUCAAAUAAAUUUUCCUAUAUCAAUCUCUUUAAAUUUAUUUACUAACCACUCUAAUCUAUAUCAAGACUUACAAACAUAUUAUAUGUCUUAAUUAAUUUUUACAUACUAUAAAAUAUUGCAAUAUGACAGUGACAUAGACAGAAGCACUAUAUUUUACUCGCCAUGGACUAUGUAAUUAAAUGGGCAAAGGUUGUUGCAACAUGACAUAAUAAUACAAACAUUGUUGCUACUUUUCUAUAUGAGAAUAUUAUCACUCGAUUUGGAUGUCCCAAAGAAUUGGUUAGCAAUUGAGGAACUCAUUUCAUUAAUUCUACAAUUACAGCUUUCAUGAAUAUGUACGAUGUUGUAUGGCAUGAUUUGCUAUCUAUUAAUACAUUGGGUAUCUAGCUGUAGAGAGUGUAGCUUAAAUCUUUAUAUGAUUCUUGUCUUAGCUUCCAAAAAUCCUUUAUUUUUGUAUAAAACUCCAAAUAUAACAAAAUCCCUUCAAAACAUAUUUUCUUCGGGAAGGGUUUUCUUGCCUUGAACUUUAAAAAAUCAUAACUAUUGAUCUAACUAUUCAAUUUGUUUCAAAUUUAUAAUAUAGGUAGAAUUUAUUCUUAAAUUUUACUACAAAAAAAAUCAAUUGCAAAUUCACUCCCGAACUUUUGGCAUCUAAGAAACCCAAGCAGUCACUCUAAACCCUAAUUUACAAGCAUCCGAAAAACUAUUUUCCUUAUUUUUCAAAAACCCAAACUUCAAAUGUCAUAAAACUUGUGCACAAAGUUUAUUAACAUGAAAUUACACAUUCCCUAAAAUUUUGAGCCAAAACCUUGUCAAAUUGCUCAAGAUGUAGCUCAAGAGACAACCACUAGUAAAUCGGUUUACUUACUACCCUUACAUUGCUUGUGCUGACUUCAAAAUCCAAUAACUCUUUCAUGCCAACUUGAAAUCCAGUAAGCAAUAUGUGAAAAGUAUAGCCACAAAAGUGCUCUCUCCAAUAGCAGUCGCCGAUCCUCAAUUGCUAUCCGUAUGCGUGCGUUAUGCCCAAAAGAAAGACAGUAGGUCCAAAACUAACACCUUAACUUUGAGCGCCUAUAACUUCAUAAAAAUCCCAGAUGACACAAAAAUUACACCAAAACCAUAGCCAAAAACCUAAACCUUCUGACCUUAGCCUUCAAAACUCAAAUGGCCUCGAGAAACUAACCCUAAUCCUUAAUAUGGCCUCAGGUAGCCUCCUCAAAGCCCAUUGGUCAUGAUUUUUGACCAAUAGGAAUGGAGAUUUUCAUUAUUCAUCUCCAUUUAUCUAUAUUGGUGCCCUUAUUACUCCCUUUACUACCAAAACCCUUCUUCAAUCUUUUUUCUUAUAAGAUUAAUAUAAUUUAUGCUCUAAACAUCAAAUAAAAGAACCAAAAGAGGUUUUCAAAGGUCACCAAUGUCUAACAAAGGUAACUCUAAAUAUUUAGAAGUUACUAUGAACUAAACCAAUCUUAAAGGCCAUUAUCAAAAAAGAAAUUAAAGUUAUACAAAUUCUAUAGGAGUCUUUUUAAACAACCUCUUCUUAUAAUAAUAACCAAAUUAUAAUCUACAACCAAUUAAAAUCUACUAACAUAGCUCUUACUAUGUUACUUAAUAAAUUAUAUAUUAAAUACAUAAUUUCAUUAUUUUCAUGUAAUAGCCGAGCCACAACAUGACAACAAGAUCAAGCAUAGAAAAAUAAUUCCAUACAUCCUAGAGCCAAUGGACAAACGGAAAAGAUCAACGAUAUUUUAUGCAAGAUAUUAACUAAGACUAUUUUGGAGGUAGGUACGGAUUAGGAUACCAUAUUAUGUACAACCUUAUAGGCAUAUCAAACAGCAUAUAAAUUAACAACCAAUUCUAUCCCAUUCAAAUUCAUUUAUGGGCAAAAAGUGUUCUUAUCUAUCGAACUAGAAGUCCGUAAUUCAUGGAUUACGAUGGAUGACCGAGUGAGUAAUAAAAAAUACGUGUACUACCAAUUGGUAAAAUUAAAAGAAUUGGAUGAAAUUUGAGCUACUACUCUUUUAAUGAUGGAAGCCACCCAAAAAUGAGAGAAAAGUUACUAUGAUAGUAAACUGUAACCUAAGAGUUUUAUGUCCAUGAAUUUGAUCUUGCUUUAUGAUAGUUAUUUUAAUACUUUUUUAAAAAAAUUUCAAGUUGGAUGGCAUGGUUUGUAUCAGGUGGUUAAAAGAUUUUCCAAUAAGUCAGUCCAAUUGAAAGAUUUUAUGGGCCAUCAAUUUAAUACAUGAAUUAACGGGAACCAAUUACGGCUGCAUUAUACUUAAAAUCCAAGACGGUGUCGAACUGUAAAUGCUUAUAGUAUGUAAAAAUUAUUUAGAACACAUUAAAUGUUAAUAAAUCUAAAUGUAUGUUAGAGUGGAUAAUAGAUUAAAUUAAAAAGAGUUGGUAUGAAAAAAAACUUUAUUUUGUUUUCCUUACUUAGUUUGAUUAUAGUAUAUAAAAGUUAUAGAACCUUAAUGUUAAGUAUGAAGCCUUGAGAGGAGAUAGGGGCCUAAAGAUGAAGAUUUAAACUAAUAGGAGGUUAAUUGGGAGGGAUGAAACCAAGGCAUGGUUGGAUGAAGGUAGAAAUAAGGAUCUUCAUCCCUAUUGGUCGAAAACCAUGCCCAAUGGACUUUUAGGAGGCUGCCCGCGACCUUGAUAAGGGUUUCGGCGACUUCAAAGAGGCCAUUAGGAAAUCAGAGGCAAGGGUUGUAAAGUUUAGGGUUUUGGCUACAAUUUUUGUACAAAUUUUAUAGGGUUUGGAGUUAGGGUGAAUAAGUUAUAGCCGUUUGAAGUUAAGGUGUCAAUUUGAGACCUACUGUUACUCUUUUGAGUUUAAGAAGAGUCUUACAGAAGCUUUUGGAGAUCGGAAGGUGCGGCUGGAAGGGCAACUUCAAGACAUACAUCUUUUGCGAAGGAAAUUUUGCAUUUCGAGUUUAUAUGAAGGAGUUAUAGGGAGUUAAAGACAGCGCAUUCAAAUCAAAGGUAGUAAGUGAACGGUUUUGUUCAAAGUAGUGUUAGGAGCCAUAACUUGAGUUUUCGAACGAAACUUUGGCUCAAACUUUGGGAGAAUGUAAACAUUUGUGUUAAAAAGCUAUCUAUAUAAGUUUCGUGGUAUUUGGACUUAUGGUUUGUGAGAUAUGAAGAAAAUUUCACGCGGGUAUAUAAAGAUUAGGGUUUGAAGUGAUUGUUAGGGCUUUGAAGAUAUCUCAAGAUCCGCGACGAAUUUGAGGUUGAAAUUUGUUGUACAAAUUAAUAACAACAUAUCAGUACUUCAUGUAAAUUUCGAUCUUGUUUGGACGGUUGGAUUAAGAGUUAUGAGGUGUUGAGGUUCGGGAGAAUUUCCACACAAGGAUAUACAAGGUUUUAGAGUACUUCUACCAUAUUUUGGGUGUUGUUGGUUAUUUAAGACUUAAGUAUUUGGUGUAAUUUUCCCAAAAGGAGAACUUAUAUAUAUAAAUUUAGGAUUUCCUUAUUUUAAGCUUGAUUGAGCAAUUAGUGACAGCCAGAAGCCCAGCGCUUUCUUGAGGCAAAACCUCUCUACCCCGACAUCUUGGUGCUUCCACUAAGAGAGCCUUAAGGCACUUAUUUUCAAUAAGUUGAAAUGGGGGAUCAAAAUCUAGGGUUUGGAUUAUCAAGAAGAGUGGGUGCCCAUGAUUUAUUCAUGGCAUUUGCUCAAUUUAUGAAAGAAAGGCAACAAGUACAUAAAGAGGAUAGAAACACUACUAAGGCCUUACAAGUAGUAGUCGACAAAGUUGGGAGGUUUGAUGGGAGGAAUAUCACCAAGUUCUUAAGAAUUUAUAUAUGUGAAAUGGAAGUGUAUCAAGUUUCAAAGAUGAAGAUGAUUACCACCUUUGAUUUCGCAGUGAUACCAGAAAUAAGGGAGAGAGUGCAAGAGUUACAUUCUGAUAUUAUAUUAUAGAAGAAAUUUGAAGAACUCUUGAAAGAUGAAUUUUUUGAGGAGGAUUCAGAAAGAAUGACCAAGGUGACUUUUUUGGAGUGGAUUGAGCAACGGCCUGGGAAUCAAAUGGCUCCAAAUGAAUUAAUCAGGGAGUUUGAAAUAAAGUUUGAUCAAUUGCCAUGGCAAGAGAAGCAGCUAUUGGAAAGAAGGAAAAUUGGAUUAUUCUUAUAAGUAGUUGAUGAACACCUAGAAGAUAAGUUACUCUUUCACCUAGUAGACAAGACAUCUGAGAGUGGUUUUACAAAUAAUUGAAAGCUAGUAAAAGAGACAGUGGGACUUUUGGCUAAACAACAAAAGAUUAAGGCUUAUGGUAUAAUAUCAAGGUUGGAACCAGUGUCUGCAUCUCAAAAUCUAGAGCUACCUCAAAAAGGAAUAAAGACUGUGACGAAUGACACUCUUGAAGAAUUAAUCAAGGACAUAUGGGAUUUGAAGGUGGAAAUGACUGAAUUGAAGAAAUUCCAAAUGGUAAGCUUAUCAAGGGUAGUUGAAGAGUCAAAAGGAUUUGUAGAGAGAUGUAUGUAGUGUGAAAAUCCAAACCACAAGUGUGGUGAUUGUGAUAGCUAUAAGGCUGCAAUCAAAGAUGGUACUGUAUAUUUCAAGGAGGGUAGGAUAAGACUCACAAGAUCAGAUGAGCCUUUAAAGACCAAUUUUGGAAAGGGUGGCAUGAAAAAAUUGGUAGAAGAUCAAACAUCAAAGGGUAAUGCCAUAAAAGGAAAGCAAGUUGAAGCUUAUUCUAUUACGGUUGAACAAAAGGUAGUUAAGACUAAUUCUUCACAAAGCACUAAAGCCAUGAUCAAGGGAGUUGAAGCUAUCAGAAAGAUAACUGGAUGGGAUGAUCCAGUUGAUAUCAUUAGCAUUAAAUCUUUUUUGUAUAAAGACAAACAUGAUGAUGAUUUGCAUGAAGCUAUGGUUGAAGAAAAAAGAGAUAGAGCUAUUUGUGAAGAAGAUGUUGGUGAGCCAACAAACAAGAAGAAGUUGGUGAGCCAACAAGCAAGAAGAGGUCUCCGAGAAAUAAAGAAGCUCAAGAGGAACAAAAUCUUGAGAAGGUGCCUUCUUCUACUCGUCUUGGAGACACACCAUUACCAAAAGAGUGGUGGAAGAAAGACAAAAUGAAGGAGAAGGAUGAUUCUAACAAAGCUAAAGGUAAAACUCCUACCUAUAAGCUUCAAUCUGAUAUAGAGUCAUCAACAGAUAUGAAGAGUAUUUUAGAGGAGAAGAUCUUAGAUGCAAAGAUUGAAUUCACUCUAUGAGAGGCUCUUGGUAUUGCCAAGAGGGAUUUUCAUGAGCUGAUUAUCAAUGUGAUAAAGAGAAAGAGGCAGAUGACAACUGAAGCUAUUAUGGUGGAAGCAUUGGACACUUGGAUAACUGUAGAUGAAGAAGAAGAGAUAAGGCAGGUAUUUGUACAAUUUGCAAUGCCAAAAGUUGGAAGUAAGAUUGAUAUGGAAGACAAGGAUUCACUUAAAUAACUUGGGGUUAUAAAAGAGCAUCAAGUGGAAUAUGCAUAUGAAGAAUCUACUGUAAAAAAAGAGAUUGUACAAAAAGCAUGUGAAAACACUUGUUCUAAAUGUGAUAAUGAUGGAAUGGGAAAUAGUAGCUAUUCAGUUUCUUAUUGGGCUAGAGCUAUUACAGAGGCAUAUGUGAGACUGGGAGAUUUUCAAGAUCCAACUUUGGCCUUAGUUGAUCAUGGAUCUGAAAUCAAUAUUAUGUCAAUGCGGAUAUAUGAAAAGAAUAAAUGGCCAAUUGACAUCAACCAUGGUUGGAUAAUUAGAGCAACAAAUAAUCAACAAGGUGAUUUAUAUGGAGCUUGUCCAGCUAUAAAGACCAAGAUUGGAGAUGUGGAGGUGGAAUAAAAUUUCUUCGUACAAAAUUCUGCUACAUAUCCGGUAAUACUUGGUCAGCCCUAUAUUACUGCUACUAGAAUGGAGACUAGAGUCUUGAAUGAUGGUUCACAUUAUGCCAGGAUUCGCAGUUGGACUGGAAAAAAAGUUGUGUAAUUUAUUACUGUAAAACCUAUUCAUGAGAGGUACAGGAAGCAAUUAAGAGGGAUGCCUUUGGAGCCAAGAAACAAUUUUGUGGAUUUCUAGAAAGCACCUCUGUAAGAUGGGGACACAUGGGUAUAAAUGAAUCAUCUAUAAAUCCCAGUGUAGAUCAUAUGACUUUUGGAUUUUUAAACUUUACUAAUAAUGGAUUUAUAAGUAUUCAAAAGAUUAAAGAUUUAGAUUUUGUAAAUAAAAGAAGGGUGAAGAAACAAGAGAAAAACUUAAAAAGAGUGGAUUUAGUUUCAAGUGAUGAAGCCAUAGUUGGAAUGAUAGAAGAAGUGGGUUUUGAAGAGGAUUUAAUAGAGGUUUUGGAAGAUUUGGCUGUAAGCAUGGAUAGAGAUGCUAUUGUAGAGUUACACUCAAGAGAAACUUAUAAGGAGUUAGAAAAGAUAGUAGCAAAUGGUGGACUUGCUACAAGCUAUGGGUUGAAACAAGAGGCUAAAGUACAAACUAAAUAUAAAACUGUAGCUAAAAAGAUUAAACUUGUAGCUACCCAGUUAUCAGUGGAUACUAUGGAGCAUAUCAAACAAGCAAUUAUGGAGCUAAGUUUAAAGAAAAGGUACAAAAUUGGACAUCAAUUUACUCAAGAAUCAUUAUUUAAGCUGAAGAUUGGAGGGGGUGAUUUCUUGACAUCAAUAGAGAAGAAUCUUUUUCAAAAAAUGCUUAUUGAAUAUGGUAAGGCAUUUGCCUUAAAUCCUAAUGAGAUUGGAUGUGUGGAUCCUAAUUUUAUAGCACCUAUGGUAAUCUUUACGAUACCACAUAUUCCAUGGGAUUUAAAACCUAUACCUGUGCCUAGAGCUUUGCUUCCAAAAUUGAUAGAAUUAUUGAAGGAAAAAGUGAAGAUGGAAAUUUUAGAACCUUCAAUUGCUCCCUACUCUAAUAGAUGGUUUACAGUACCCAAGAAGUCAGGGACAUUGAGGUUCAUUCAAGAUAUGCAACCUGCAAACAAAGUGACUAUCCGAAACAUGGGAUCAGGACCUAUAGUAGAUGAAGUGGCUGAGCAAUUUGCAGGUCAUGCCAUCUAUUCUAUUGGAAACUUGUAUUCUAGGUAUGACCAAUUUCAAUUGGCUAAAGAGAGUAGAGAUUUAACCACCAUGAAGAUUCCUUUGGAUUUAAUGAGGAUGUGUACUUUACCUCAAGGUGCAACCAACUCAGUGGCUCAUAUGCAAAAUGCUAUGAACCAAAUAUUAAAAGACUUUGUACCUGAGAAGGCCAUCCCAUUUUUGGAUGAUAUACCUAUUAAAGGAGAUAGAGAAGAAGAUAAGGAUGAGACCAUGGAGGUUUAAGGUUGCAGAAAUUUUGUCAAGAGGCAUAUUGAAGAUGUGGCUAAGAUAUUAGAGACAUUGGAAUUAGUUAACUUGAGAUUAUCUUUAGAGAAAUCAAGCUUUGGAGUUGAUAAAAUUCUAGUCGUGGGACACAUGUGCGACAAGUAUGGUAGAAAACCAAACCUUGAUAAGGUUGAUGCUAUAUCUAGAAUGAAGGCUUGUAAAAGUGUUAGAGAAGUCAGAAGGUUUUUAGGGGUGUGUGUAUUCUAUCAUAUUUGAGUGUCUUUCUUUGCUCAUAUCUCAGAACCACUAUACAAGUUAUUGAGGAAAGGUAAGAGAUUUGUUUGGAGAGAAGAACAAGAAAUAGCUAUGGAAAAUCUAAAGAAGAUGUUGAGUUCACCACCUGUGCUUAGACAAGUGGAAUAUUAAUGUGGAAGACCAAUGAUUGUAAUAGUGGAUACAAGUCCUAUAGCAAUUGGAUGGACAAUUGGAUAAGAUAAUAUGGAAGGGAGAAGAUUUGCUAUAAGAUUUGGAGCUAAGAUUCUUACAAAGAGGCAAAAGACUUAUCCACAAGUUAAAAGAGAGGUUUGGGGAGCACUCACUGCUCUAAAGGCUGAAAGGAAUUAUUUGAUUGGAGUAAGUGUGGUUUUAGAAACAGAUUGUUUACCUAUACUUGGAAUGAUAAUUAACUGCACUACUCUAGAUAUUGCUAUGCUAAGAUGGAUAGCAUAUAUAAGAACAUUGAAUCCUGUUUUAGUACAUAUUACUGAUAAAAAAAACUUAGUGGCAGACAUGUUGUCUAGAGCUAGAUAUACCUUUGAAGAAGAAAUGGUGUUUCAUGAAAGGAGUGAAGAUCAAGAAGACAAGAGCUACAGAAAUUUAUUUUCUACAGGUGGAAUGGAUUUUAAUGAUGAGGCUGAAAUUUUCCAUAAGGAUUUGUAUGAAGGCAAAUUGAGGGAUAUUGAAACUUACUUGAGCAAAAUGAAGAAGCAAGAAGGAUGGAUGGAUAAGACCUUCAAAGAUAUUAGACAUCAAUUCUAUGGUUAUCUACUUAAAGAUGGAUUCUUAUGGAAGAGGCCAAAAAGAGGUGAUAAAUUUUCAUUAAAGGUAGUAGGAGAUCUUAAGACUAAAAUUCAAGUUUUGAAAGAAUAUCAUGAUACACUUUGGGCAGGACACAGGGGAGUUUGGACUACAUAUACCAAGAUCAAGGAAAGGUAUUGGUGGAAGGGUCUAUACAAAGACGUAGAAGACUUUGUAAGUUCAUGUACAGAGUGUCAACUACAAUCCAAGGUUAGAUAUAGAGAUGGAUUACAUCCUACUUAUCCACCUUCUAUACAUUUUCAAUGGGUGAUUGAUUUGGUAGCUAUGCCAUUAGGACUUUGGGGUAUGAAAUACUUAGUUUUGGCAAGAGAGGAGCUAUCAAAUUAUGUUGAAGGGAGGGCUUUGUACCUUCUUCAAUUCAUUUGCUAAUAGCUUAUAAUAUUGUUGAGCCAUUUCUAAGUGAGUCUUUAUGAUUGCUUGUAGUUGAGCCAUCUUCGUAGUAAACUACUCUAUUGUUGGAUUUGCAGACUUUGAAGGCUCUAUCAUAUCCAACUUUGGAUGAUGGCCGUAGUUUGAGAAGAGUAGCAAUUGCUAUGUAGAUGCAUAGAUUGUAUUGUUGUAUGCAAAUUUAUCAAGGACAAGUAGGAAGUCCAAUCGUCUUGUUUAUAAUUGAUAGUACACUUUAAAUAUUGCUCAAGAAUUUGAUUGAUCAGCUUUAUUUGGCCAUUAGUUUGAGGGUGAAAGGUAGAGAAAAGGUUGAUGACAACCUUAAGAACCUUGAAGAGUGCCUUUCAAAACCUUGAUACAAAUUGUGACCCAUGAUUCGACACAAUGUCGUUUGAUAAUUUAUGAUAACAAUAGACAUUAUCAAUGAAAAGUCUUGCCAUCUCUUCACUAGUAAUUGACUUCUUAUAAGGUAUAAAAUGUAUUAUCUUAGUCAAUUGAUCAACAACUAAAAAGAUAGUGUCAAAUGAGCUUGAUGGUAGAAGAUCUGUAAUAAAAUCUAUAGAAAUAGGUGACAAUGGUUGUCUUGAAAUAUGUAUAGGUUGAAGAAGUCUAUAUGACUAAUGUUGAGAGUUCUUUGAUCUUGAAUAAGUAUCACAUGAUAGUACAAAUUUUUUAAUGUCCUUCUAUAUUUUAAGCCACCAAAAGUCUUUGGACAAAAGUUCCAAGGUUUUGUUGAAUGCAAAAUGUCCGACUAUAUAAAAGUCAUGGCAUGUUUGAAGAAUGCCUAAGCAAGUUGGCCUUUCAAGAAUGAACAAACAUUCUUCAAAAAAUAAGAGAUUAUCUUCAUACUUGAAUUUAAAAGACUCUUCAAGAAGGUUGUUGGUAAGACGAUUGAUAUUAAGAACAAGAGGGUCCGUAUUUGAGGCUUUACAAACUUCAUCAAGAAAUGAUAAAUCCACAAGCAUUGAUACAUUGGUUGCUCAAAGAUGAAAUUAUUUAGGCUUUAACAAGGUUACUCAUUGUUGAUCAUAUGCUGCCUCACCUUCUUUUGCUUCACGAUAGAAAUGUCUUGAUAAUACAUCUGAUAAUCCUUAUUGGCUCUCGAGUCGAUACAUGAUGCAAAAGACAAAUUGUGAUAAAGAUAUACUCCAAUGUACUUGGUGAAAAUUCAAGACUCAGACUGAUAUGAAGUAUUGAAGAUUCUUGUGAUUUGUAUAUAUAGUCACCUAUUGAGAGGUGCUUUCAAAAAAGUGGCACCAUUUUUGGAAAGAUUCUAUUAUAACAAGCAGCUCUUUAUUAUAGAUUUUGUAAUUAAUUUCUAUCAUUGAAAAUUUUUUAGAAUAAAAUGCAAUUGAAUGAAGUUUGUUAUCUUCUCUAUAUUGCAACAAGAUUGCUUCCAAUACAAAGUUUGAAGCAUUGGUUUCCUUAAAAUAGGGCUCAUUGAAAUCUAGAUAUAUCAAAAUGAGAGUUAUUAUAAAAGUAUCUUUUAAGCUUUUAAAAGCUUUCUCUACUUCAAGGCCCUAGUCCAACUUGUGCUUGUAUGUCAACUGAAUAAAUAAAGCAACGAUCUUAGAGUAAUUUUUUAUCAAAAAUCUUAUAAAAAUUUACUAAUCUAAAAAAACAUUAAACAUCACAUAUAGUUUUUGGCUUUUCUCAAUCGAUGAUUGCUUAUACCUUCUUUGGAUCUAUAAAAAGGCCUUUAUUGGAAAUAAUAUAUCUAAAAAAUUUGACUUGAAGUACAUGAAAUAUACAUUUCUCCUGUUUUGCAUAUAGCCCAGCACUUUGUAGUUUUUUUAGUACAAGGUGGACAUGUUUUUUGUGGUCUUCCAGAUUCUUGAAAAAUAUUAGAAUAUCAUCUAAAUAAAUCACAACAAAGUCAUUGAGAUGCUCACAAAAUAUAUCAUUCAUUAAGUAUUGGAAUAUUGCUAGUGCAUUAGUAAGUCCAAAAGGCAUGACAUUGUAUUCAAAAUGUCCAUACUUGAUACAAAAUGUUGUCUUCUAUUCAUCUCUCUCUUUAAUGCAUACCAAGUUAUAAGCGCCUCGUAAAUCAAUCUUUACAAAGAUCUUUGCUUGGCUAAGUUGAUCAAAAAGUCCUAAUACUAAUAGUAAUGGAUAUCAAUUUUUUACGAUGAUUUUAUUAAGAUCGCAAUAAUUGACACACAUUGGUAAAGCUCCAUUUUUUUUCUUUACAAAUAAUAUCAAAGUACCAAUUGGCAACUUGGAACGUUGAAUAAAAUUCUUAGUCAAAUUUUUUUCAAUGUAUUUCUUUAAAGUCGCAAGCUCAUUCUAGGAUAAAUUAUACAUGAGUCUAAACAGUGGUUGAGCACCUUCUUCAAGAUCAAUUGCACAAUUUUAAGGGUGAUGCUUUGGUAAGAUGUCCAUAUUUUUCUUUUCAAAUACAUCUACAAAAUCCUUAUACAACUUUGGAAUUGUUGUUGUAGCAACCACAGGUUCCAAUUGUGGAUUUGCAUAAAUAGCAAACGUUGUACCUUGUUUAGCCACCCUCACAAAUACUCUGGCUUCAAUAAAUAAAUGUUGUUUAAGUCUUAGCUUGUCAAAUUUUAGAAUCUUUUUCAUAGAUCUGGAGGUUCUAUGAUCUACUAGAACAAAUUCUAACUUUUGAGAUAUCCAAUUUUGAGCUCUCAAUUAUAUUCUAAAAUUUAAAUUUUUAUUAUUUUCCUAUUUUAUGAUAAUUAAAAAUAUUGGAUUAGGAUUUAUAUAAGUAGAAUUCAGUUUUAUAGAAUUUUUAGGAUUACAACCCUUCAUCAUAUAAAUCAUAGCCUAAUUCCUUGAAUUAGAUUAAUUAGGACUAAAGUGAUAAGAGUUAAAAAAUUAGAAUAGCAACUUAAUUACUUUAAUAAUUUAGAGGUCGUUAGUCAUUACAAUAAGGACUAACUAAAAGCCUAUGAGUGCAUCUAUAAUCAUUCAUAUGAUUUAGGAGUUGGAAUUAUAAUUCUCUAAAAGAUUUAUGGAAGUUAGCAAUGGUAAUUUUGGAUUUUCCUCCAAAUUCGACAAAUUUAAGUGACAUGGUGGUUCUUCUACUUAAUGGGAGUCUCUUUAAUGUAAUGGUGGCACUGGAUUUACCUCGUGGAGUGAAAAAAACAAGAUCAGCAACCUCUCCUUCAAAAUACAAGAGAAGAAAUGAAAUUCUCAUUUUGAAGAAUUUCACAAAAAUUGCCAAGAUCCUUGAAAGUAAAAACUUCCAUAAAAAUUAUAAUUGAGCAUGGAUUGAGGCAUGUGAGUAGUCGAUCUUAGCUUAAAAAGGUAUUUUGAAUACAAUAGUAAAGUUAGAUUUACAAAAAAUGCUUGCUUGACCACUUACAGGAGCCAUCAACCUUGAUAACGAGAUUGGCUCUUUGAUGAAUGAAGGCUGUAGAUCUAGAUUAGGGAUCUUAAAAAUCAAGGGUGGAGAUGAAGCCACCCUUCUACGAACCUCCACUCAAUUGUAUAAUAGAGGCUUGGUUUUCCAAGCCCUCUCUCUCUUCUUUUGAGUGAAGGGCAGAGCCAUGCCAAAAUUUGGCCAAAACCCUAAUCUUAAUUUUAUUUAGAUUUUAAUUCUCAUUUUGAACCUUGUGAUUGUGUAUGUAUGGAUUUUUUAUUGUGAAAGAUGGUCAUUAAGUUUUAAAAUAUGUUUCAUUGAGGUAGAUAUCUCCUCGGCCUUUCAAAUACCCCAAGGGUUUCAAGGGCCUCGGAUUUCCUUCAAUCCGUCACUCAAUUUCUGUUUUUUCAAUGUGAAAUUCUAAAUAUAUGUAGAUUUUGUUGUUAGCUUUUCAACAAGAGAAGAUUUGCUUGAUUUGGAGUAAAAAGGAAUUUUUUGUGAAUUUCUGAGUUUGAGUGAGUCGACUGCCUUUGCAGCUUGAAUCAAUCAAGUUUGGAAAGGCAUUUCUCAGUGCCUAGUGAUUGGAUUUAUUUGAAAUUUUGGGAGAAUCAAAAUCUAUAAGCUAAGCUCUGAAAGGCAUAAGUUUUGUUGAAUUUUAAGACAAUCUGAAUUUUUAGUGAAUUUCUAAGUGAAGAGGGUUGGUCACCAUGGUAGUUUGGAUCACUCAACUUCAAAGGAGGAAUUCUCACGACUGAUUCAUUAGAUUGCAACGAAGAUUGUUGGAUCAAAAGCUCCUUCAAGUCAGCCUUGCAAAAAGCUAAGAAUCAUUCAAAUUGAAAUCGAUUACAAAUUUUGGCAAAUUUUGGAGUAGAAGGGGGAAGCUGCCUUCAAUCCUUACGUAUUGUCAAGGUACCUUCGCUUUCACCUCUCUCACUUUAUUUUUACUAUCGUCUUCACAGUGACUUGUAAGCUCCACAUUUUACAUUUUGGCUAAUAAAUUUUAAGUUUAACUUUUCACCUUUAAUAUUCUCACUUUAACUUUUAACUUUUAAUUUUAACUUUAACUUUUAAAUUAAACUUUUAAUUUUAACUUUUCACUUAAUCUUUAAUCUUCAUUUUUAACUCAUUUUUUUUUACUAAACCUUUUGAUUUUAAUUUUUAACUUAACCUUUUAAUUUCAAAUUUUAAGUUAAAUUUUUAAUCUUAAUUUUUAACUUAAUCUUUUUUAACUUAACUUUUAACUUAGCUUUAAUUCAAACUUAAGUUUUUAUUCUUAUGGUCAAUUAAUAGUAAUAACUUUUUUAAUUAUUUUCAUUAUAUUUGCAUAGUAAACUUUAUUUAACAUAUUAAUUUAAUGUUGGUAACCAAUACUUGGAAGGCCUAAAAUUAAUUGAAUUUUUAAUAUAAAGAUUUAAAUUAAUCUAACAAUUAUACAAUUGGGAGCUCUCUAAUUCCACCUCUUGGACUUCUUGUAUGGCAUAGGUUUCAUCAAGUGGUGAAAUUUGGCCUCAUACCAAUCUAUCUAUGGAUUAUAUUUUUUAAGCCAUAAUAGUCCUAAAAUGACUGGAUUUGAUGGUGAUAUAAUGACGUUGUCAAAGUUUAUUUAUAUUGAAAUCGUUUUGUGAGUGACAUCUCCAAAGGAUAAAGAUCGACCAUCUAUUACUUCUAUAUGUACAGCUUUGGAUUUUUUGACAGUACAGAUUUUAUAUAAUCUAGAAAAUUCUUCAUCAAUAAAACAUGUAGAGGCUUUCAAAUUAAGUAUUGCAUGACACCCUAAUUUUGUGACUCCUAACUAUACAAGUAUAUUAAAACAAGCAGAAGGGCUAGUAGACAUUACAUAAUCUUUUUUAGUUUGAAAUAGUGAAGAAUCCAACCGUACGAUUCCUACUAUGGCUAGAUGCCCUUGUUUUCCUACAACGCUCUUGAUGAUAUGGCUACACUCCUCAUUAAAUAUGUACGGUGGCAUUUCUCUAAACAAUUAUUAAUCUUAUCGCUAUAUUUUCCACAAUAUAAGUAUAGGCCAACUUUUCUUUAACAACUUUUUUCUUGUUCAGAAAGAGGUUUAAAGAAAAUUAAAUCAAUUUGCAUAUUUAUUGCUUCCAAUUGCUCAUUAGAAUUGGACAAUGAAGAAGAUAUAAAAUAAUUGGUAUAUACAAUGGCGUAAUUGAAGAAUAUUUAUCUUGUCAUCGUUGAAAUAAAUGAUUAUUGUACUUCACAGCUUAACUAUUGGCUUCAUUGAAUGUUAGAGGAUCUAACAUAGACAACAAUAAGUCCUUGACAUUGUUUCUUAAUCCCCAAUGAAAUUGGCUCAUCAAUGCAUCUUCUCUUCAAUUUAUAUCACAUGUUAAUUGUUAGAAAUCUAAGGUAUACAUUGAUGUAGAGUGUAUUCUUUGUUGAAGGUUUCAUAUUUUAAUUGUUGAAGAAUGAACCUUAUUAUAUUCACCAAAUGCUUCCACAAAUACUCCCAAAAUACUUCAAAAUUGUGUAAUGUAGGAGAUUUUUUUUUAAAUAAUGGAUAAACUAGGAUAAAGCUUGACCUAAGAGCAAGGUUGCAACAAAAUCCAAUAUGAGAUGUUUUAGUGGAAUAUUAGUCAUACUUGGUUUACAAAGCCAUGGAAUAAUUAAGUAAGGUAAUUAGUCAUACUUGGUUUACAAAGCCAUGGAAUUUUGAGCAGGUACCAUCUAAUUUUUUUGGAAGGCUAAUCCUUGGUUCUUUUGUUAUUAUUAUUAUUAGAUCAUUGCCUUGAGUAGAUGCACCUUCCAUGUUUGAAGUCAACAUAGUCGUUUGAGAAUUGGAACCUCUGUUGCAAUUUGAUGUAAUGGUUGAGGCACUCCGACUCUUUGAUCAUUUUGUAUGGUUAUAUAUAGUUCUUCAUUCUACUUUGAUAAAGUCUCUAUCUUAAUCUUCAAUACUUCAAGAUCAUUAAUAAUAGAAUCUAAUUUGAUAUCUUUAGAAUCUAUUAUAUUAACUAUUUCAUCUUUUUCUAUAAAAAAUUAAAAAAACUUACGUCUUUAAAAGAAAAAAACUUGAUCUAUGAUAUUAAGAAAAGAAACCAAAAGAAUAUUAAAAAAAAGAAUAAUAUUAGUCUAAAGGAGGAUAAUCCACAACCUCUAUAAUGCUAUAGUAUUUCCAAAAAAAAGAAUAAUCUACUCUCUAACAAGAAAGACCAAACUCUUAAUAUUAUUUUAAGGCAGACUCAAAAAACUAUUAGGAACCAUAUAUAAGACAAGGAUUUAAGACCAAGAAAUGGAAUUAGCUUGACAUUAGAACAACAACUGGAUACAAGACAAGAAGGUCCUGACUAAACCAUAAAAAGUGAGUUGUCGAGACUGAAGAUCUCUUCAAUCUUAACUCCUAUAUAUACUAGAUCCUAAGAAGCUUCUUAAAAAGUUUUCAUGAAGCUUGAAAACAAAGCAAGCCUAAGAUCCUUCUUCAACAACUUCCUAAAUCAUCUAAAGCCUCCUCGAACCUUCUAGGAUCUUCUAUGAUAUUCUAAAAUUUUCUUAGAAUCUACUGAAACCUCUUAGAAUCUUUUAGAAUCUUUUAGAAUCUUUUAAAAUCUUCUAAAAUUUUCUUUAGUUGUAUGUCUGUGACAUAAGUCUAGUAUAAUCAAAUCUUUAAAAAUAGGUGCAAGAGCUUUCAUACAUGCCACAAAAAAAUAGAUUAUCUUUUGUUUUGUAUGCCACACUUAUUUUUUAUAGUAAAAAGAUGUCAAGUAAUAUUCCUAGCCAGUAUGAAGCUUUUGAAGACAUUUUUGAAAAGAAGAAUGUAGAUAUUUUUUCAAAGCAUUGUCCUUAUGAUUGUUCCAUUGAUCUUUCCAAAUGAGCUCAAUGACUAUUUGGACCAAUUUAUAGUCUAUUACAAAACAAGUAGGCUGCACUUAAGGAGUAUAUUGAUGCAAACUUGGCUAAGAAUUUCAUACAUUAUUUUAAAUCUCUAAUUAGGGCUCUUAUUUGUAAAAAAGAAAAGAUGGAUCUCUAUAAAUGUUUGUAGACUAUUAACAACUCAAUAAGAUUACUAUCAAGAAUAGAUAUCUUUUAUCUUUGAUUUCAAGACUUUUUUAACAAUUCAAUUAAGCAAAGGUCUUAUUUCAUGUUGACUUCUCCAAGGCAUUUUUCAUGGAAAUAGUUGCAUUGGAUUUUUCCUUAGAUAUAAAAUUAUCACAAAUAGGAGCAAAUAACAAACUCCAUCUAAUAGCUUUCUAUUCCAAAAAAAAUUUAGCAACUAAUAUUAAUUAUGAAAUCUACAAAAAAAAAACUUUUUGUAAUUAUGAAUUCAUUUCAAGAAUAGCAUCAUUAUUUAGAAGGCAUCUCAAGUCUAAUCACGAUAUAUGUAAAUCACAAGAACCUCAAGUACUUCAUGUUGACAUAUAUUUUGAAUCAUUGCCAAGCUUGUUGGAGCAUGUCUUUACAAAGAUUUGAUUUUAAGAUCACUUACUGGUUCGGUGUCGUAUUAAGAUUUGGCUAUUAUAUAAAAAUGAUACAUAAAUAUAAAUUUAAUAUAUAAAUUACUAUAUAAUAUGGUAAGAGCUAUAUUAUUAGAUAAUAUUUAGUCAUAAAAUAUGAUUGAAUCACUACUUUGAAGUGGUUGUUUAAAAGAACUAAUAUUGAAGUUGAUUUUAUGUUGAUAAUAAUUUUAUAUGUUUAGAGCCAUCUUUAUCAGACAUUAAUGAUUCUUGAAAUCUUAUUUUAUUUCAUUUAGUUGGUAUUUGUAGAAUAGAUAUUAAUUCGUUUUUGAAAGAUAUUGAUAAAAUAUAUAAAUAGUCCAUAUAAUAGGAAAUUUAGGAGGACGGAUGAGUGAAUUAGUUAUUAAAAGUGGUUAAUUAUAGAAUUAUAGUUAGAAUCUAGAGAAUCAGUGGAAAAUAUAUAGGAGUUGUAGAAGUUAAUUAGAGUGCCAGACUGUGAUAGUCAUGAGCCAAGGGCCAUCGCUGUGAUAGUGUGAGCCGGGGUAAGCUUGGUGCUACCUCUUUUCUUUUGUUUGUUAUUUUCUUUGGAUAAGAGGAUUGAGAGUUUCUGAAUAUUGUGAAGUGAAUUAUGGAAUGAAAAUGUGAUUGGUAUUAUUUGAGAAGAACAAAGAUUGAAUGCUGAAAUUUGAUUGUAGUUCAGCAGAGAGAAUGAGUCUAUGUUUGUUUGAAACAUCGUAAUGUGAAUGGUAGUUCUGUGUGAAGAAUUCCAGUGAUUGGAAUGAAGGUAAUUGUGUCCUGAAAGUUGUGAGGAUGCAGUAUUACAGUUGGAGAUUAUAAGGGUGAAUAUAUUGGUGGAAAUAGCAGUUAUUGGUAUAACUGAAUUGCUAUAAGAAAGAGAUCGAUAAGGUGAAGGGAGAGAUUAUAGUUUCCUUGUGUAUUCAGGUAUUGGAAAUAGAGACGAUACAUUCAGGAGGUUAUUGAUUGUGUGACCCUAAUGUGAACGCUUAAGCAACUAGUCAUUCCCUGUGUUUGAAUCCCUCUAUAUGGGUUUAUUUCCAUUAGAUUAAUUUGAAAUAAGUAAAACGAGCAAUCACAGUGUUUAAGACAUAUAUUAUAUAAAUCUUGUAAGAAAAAAGAUUAUAGAAGGAUUUUAGUAGCAAAAAGAAUAGUUAGAACAUUCACAUGGAUGAAUGAAGAUGAAUGAUGAAAAUUUUUAUUUUUAAUACCCAAUGGAAUUUAAAGAGGCUGCUGAAGCUCUUAUUAGGGAUUAAGAUUACUCUUUGGAGGAAAUUUAAACUUAGGAUGCUAGAAUCAAAGAUUUUAGGUUUUUAGCUAUAGCUUUUGUAUAAAUUUUGUAUGAAAGAAAUAUAGGCGCUUAAAGUUAAGCUAUUGGUUUUGUACCUACUAUUAUAUUUUUGGACAUAACACAAUCGUACAAAAAGUAACUAAGAAUUGGUAAUUGAAAUUAGAGAGACCACUUUUUUAACUACACUUUUUAGAUACUGUUUGAUAAAUUUGAAGCUGAGAUGAAGGAGUUAUAGGAAGUUGAAGUCAAUACCUCAUAUUUAAGGGUAGCAAAUAACUUGAUGUACUAUUGGUUGUAUUUUGAGGUAUCUCUUAAAAAAUUUAACAAGAUUUUAGCUAAAAAUUUCCAAAAAUACAUGUUAUUAUGUCAAUAAUUGCUAUAUACAAAUUUUAUAGCUUUUACAAUUUGGAUUUUUGAGAUAUAAAAAAAAUAGAUCUAGUAUAUUCUUAGAUAGAAAAUCAUGCCAUAGGACACCAAAAACAAUAAGGUUUAUUAGGAAUCCUUUUUAGACGUUUUAAUCUUACACCAAAAAAAAAAGAUGUAUUUUUUUUUAUUAAGAAAGAAUGAUUUUCGUGAAGCCAAAACAUUUUUACCUUCGAGCAAUAAAAUCAACAUUGAUUGUUGAUUCAACCUUUAUCAAGAAAAUUCAAAAAAGUAUGUCUUCUAAUCUUCAUGUCCAUGAUAUUAAGAAUAAUUUUUUUAAGUCCCAUAAUACUUUCAAGUUUGAGUUCAAAAACAACCUAUUUAAUUUUGAAAGACAGUUAUAUAUUCCACAAGGUAUGACAUGAUUACGUGUUCUUCAAACUUGUCAUAACUUUUUAGUUGCUAGAUAUUUUGGAUAUAAUAAAACUUAGGAGCUAAUAUCAAGAGAUUUUUGGUGGCCUCAAAUAUGGAAGGCAAUCAAAGACUUUGUACAAUCAUGUGAUAUUUGUUCAAGAUCCAAAACUCCUUGCCUUUGACAUGAUGGACUUCUUCAACCAUUACCUAUCGUAGAACAAUCAUGAUCUUCUAUCUCUAUGGAUUUUAUCACGGAUCUUUCAAUUUCGAGUUUAUAUAAUUUUAUAUUUGUGAUAGUAGAUCAUUUUAUCAAGAUAGCACAUUUUGUAUUAUAUACAAAAUCUAUCACAUGUGAAGAAAUGGCUAAGCUUUUUUUAACAAUAUCUAUCAUUAUUAUAGAUUGUUUAAAGAUAUUAUAUUAAAUAAAAUGACUCAAUUUAUAUCAAGAUUUUAGAGAAUCUUUUCUAAGAUUUUAAAAGAAGAUGUAAAGUUUUUUUUGACUUUCCAUCCUCAAAUUGAUGGAUAAACAAAAUGAGUGAAUUAAAUUUUGGAGUAUUACUUAAAGUAUAUCAUCAACUAUCAUCAAGAUGGUUGAACAACUUUUUCACCAAUGAUAGAGUUUGCAUAUGAUAAUUUGGUAAAUUCCUCCACUCAAUAGAUAUUUUUUUUUUAUCAAUUAUGGUUAUCAUCUAUAACUUUAUACUUUUGACUUUUCAAAAGUUGAUAAUCCUGCAAUAGAAGUUUUAGCAAAUCAUAUAUCAGAGCUACAUACAAUAAUUAAGGUGCAAUUAAAGAGAACUUAAGAACAAAAAAAUAUUAAUGCAGAUGCCUAUUGCAAUGAAAAAUCAUAAUUUAAUGUGGGUGACAAAGUAUGGUUAUUUUAUUACAAUAUCAAAACUACUUGUCUUUGUAAAAAGUUGAGCUAUUAUAAGUUUUGAGCUUUUUCUAUUAGUAAAUAAAUUAAUCAUGUUGCUUAUUGAUUAUAUCUAUCAAAGUCUAUGAAGAUCCAUCUUGUAUUUUACAUAUCUCUUUUUGAGCCAUAUUAGACAAUGAAUAUCUUAAAAAGAAGACAAAUGCCACUUCUUCCUAUAAAAGUCGAUAAUAAUCAAGAAUUUACGGUAGAAGAAGUCUUAGAUUCAAGGGGGCACCAAAAUAAGUUGAAAUAUCUUAUUCAUUGGUGCGGAUAUGAUAUUAUUAAAUGCACAUUGAAGCUAGCGAAGAAACUUACAAAUGUAGCAAAGAGAAUUGAAGCUUUUCAUCAAUGACAUUCAUCAAAACUAAGAUGAAGAAUAGCAAAUCUUUGUUAUAAAAGAAACAAGAUCAAAAGAAGAUAAUACUCUAUUUUCUAUCCUUCUUUGUAGCCUUUGUGUAUUUGUGAUGCUAAGAAGAUAGAAAACCAAUAACUAGUAGAUUCAAUUGAAGAGCUUUUAUUUCCUAACUUAUCAAACAAAAUAUUGCAAUUGUUAUAAUCUUUAAGAUGACGUAAUCGAGAUGAAGAUCCUCAAGAACAAUAAGUCCUUCCUCAAAUAAAUAAUAAGAUACAAAGUUAUUUUAUUGCAUAAUUUUUUAUCUAAGAAUACAUUGAGUACUUAGCUAUAGAGAGUUUAGUUUUACCUUAUUGGCCAAGCUCCAAUAAGUUAUCUAACCUUUAAAGUAGAAGUCAAAUAAAUGCUAUAAUAUCAAAAAGAUAUUUUAUUAAUAAAAUCUUUUAUAUUUAAGAAGGUUUAUACAUAAGGCUUUCUAAAAUAUCUAGGAAUUUUCUAAUAUUCUUGGUUAUACCAAAUCAUAACUAACUAUUUGUUGGUAAGUUAGAUUUUCAAAAAUUCCAAAGAAAAUCCAUAAUAUCUUCUAAAAAAUUCAUCUUUAUAUCAAAAUUUAAUCAUAGCUCUAUAUAUCCAUCUUCAAUAUAUAUAUAAAGUCUUAAAUUCCAAAAAAACUCCUUUACUUUGUAUAAUAAAAUACUUCAAAAUAUAUUUUUUUACAAAGGUUUUUUUUUUCUUAAACUUUAGAAAUUUAUAUCUCUUGAUCCAACUAUUCAAUUUUUUUUCAAAUUUAUAGAUAAUAUAUAAUUUAUCCUUACACGUUAUUACAAAAAAAUUCAACCAUAAAUUUACUACCAAUUGUCUAAUAUCUUAAAAAUCCUAAUAGGUGCUUCAAACCCUAAUUCAUAAGUAUCUGAGUAAUAUUUUCUUUAUAUCUCAUAAAUCCAAAAUCCAAAUGCUAUAAAAUUUUUAAAUUAAGUUAAUUAAUAUGAUAAUAGAAAUUCUUACAAAUUUUGAGCCAAAAUCUCAUCAAAUUGCUCAAGAUAUAGCUCAAAAUACAACCACAAGUGAAUUAGGUCACUUACUACCAUUAGAUUUGCAAGUGCUUAUUUCAACCUCCAACAUCUCCUUCAUUUUGACUUAAAAUCCAUCAAAUAGUAUGCCAAAAUUGUAGCCAAAAAAGUUUUCUCUUCAAUCUCAGCCGCCGAUUUCUGUACGCGUGCGAUAUAUCCAAAAGAAUGACAAUAGGAACAAAAUUAUUAAGUCAACUUUGAGCAGCUAUAUCUCCUUCAUAAUAACUCCAAUUGACUCAAAAUUUGUACCAAAAUCAUAGCUAAAAACCUGAACUUAUUGACUUUACUCUUUAAAAGCUCAAAUGGCUCAAAAGUGUAAUCCUAAUCCCUAUUAUGGCCUUGACCCGCCUCCUUGAAGUCCAUUGAUUAUGAUUUUUGACCAAUAGGAAUGGAGAUUUAUAUUAUUCAUCUCCAUUCAUUCAUAUGGGUGUCCUAAAUAUCUUUUUUAUCUAUAAAAAUCCCUCUUCAUCUCUUUUUUUUAUAAGAUUUAUACAAUAUAUGUUCUAAACAUCAUAUGAAAGAAACAAAUAAGACUUUAAGGGUCACCAAUAUCUAACAAAGGUGACUCUAAAUACUUAAAUGUUACUAUUAAUAAGAUCAACUUCAAAGACACUAUCAAAAGAAAAUAAGUUUAUAUAAAUUCUAAUAGAAGCCCUUUUAAACAACCUCUUUUUGAAGUAGUAAUCUAUCCACAUCCUAUAACCAACAAAAAUUAACUAAUAUGGCUUUCACCAUAUUGUCUAGAAACUUGGUCAACAAGAUAAUUAUGUAUUGGUAGAUUCCAGAACAAGCUAACUAUGUGGUGCACAUAUGAAAAACUUGCCUUGCAAAUUAAGAUACAUGUCUUACAAAGUUAACACAUUUUAGAGGUCCUAAAGAACAUUGUAAUGUAGCUCAUAAUUAAGAGUAUAUAUAGAGGCAAGAGUGAAGCCUUCUUCUUUUUUGCCAACGCCUUUCUAAUCUUUAGUCUUGUUUCAAGACUUUUUAGUCUUUUUGUUUUUAGCAAUAGCUAUUCUAGUUUAAUAUAAUAUCAUUGUGAUUACUCGUUUUACUUAUUCCGGAAGAAACCUCCCAGAAUAAACCCGUAUAGGGGGAUUCAAACAUGGAGAAUGACUAGUUGCUUAAGCAUUCACGUUAGGAUCACAUAAUCAAUUACCUCCUAAAUGUAUCGUCUCUAUUUCCAAUAUCUGAACACAGAAGGAAACUAUAAUCUCCUCCUUCACCUUAUUGAUUUCUUCCUUACAGCAAUUGAGUCAUAUCAAUAACUGCUAUUUCCACCAAUAUAUUCACCUUCAUAAUCUCUAACUGUAAUACUACGCCUUCACAGCUUUCAACACACAAUUACCCUCGUUUCAAUCACUAGAAUUCUUCACACAGAACUGCCAUUCACAUUACAGUGUUUCACACAAAUACAGACUCAUUCUCUCUACUGAAUUACAAUCAGAUUUCAACAUUCAAUCUUUCUUCUUCUCAAAUAAUACCAAUCACAUUUCCAUUCCAUAAUUCACUUCACAAUAUUCAGAAACUUUCAAUCUUCUUAUUCAAAGAAAAUAACAAACAAAAGAAAAGAGGUAGCACCAAGCUUACUCCGGCUCACAACUCUCACAGUCUGGCCCUCGGCUCA